Molecule: ribosomal RNA, 706 nt
Filed under: Xylariaceae sp.
Lineage: Eukaryota; Fungi; Ascomycota; Sordariomycetes; Xylariales; Xylariaceae
Description: eukaryotic LSU rRNA
Rfam family: Eukaryotic large subunit ribosomal RNA (bases 114-706)
Source: RNAcentral
GUAGCUCCUCAAAGUUAGUGGCGGAGUUGGUUCACACUCUAGACGUAGUAAUUUCUUAUCUCGCCUAUCAGUUGGACUAAUCCCCUGCCGUAAAACCCCCAAUUUUUAAAGGUUGACCUCGAAUCGGUUCAGAUAAACUCGCUAAAUUGAAGCAUCUUAGUCAGCGAAGGAAAAGAAACCAACAGGGAUUGCCCUAGUAACGGCGAGUGAAGCGGCAACAGCUCAAAUUUGAAAUCUGGCCUCCGGGUCCGAGUUGUAAUUUGUAGAGGAUGCUUUUGGCGCGGUGCCUUCCGAGUUCCCUGGGACGGGACGCCUUAGAGGGUGAGAGCCCCGUACGGUUGGACACCAAGCCUCUGUAAAGCACCUUCGACGAGUCGAGUAGCUUGGGAAUGCUGCUCUAAAUGGGAGGUAAAUUUCUUCUAAAGCUAAAUAUUGGCCAGAGACCGAUAGCGCACAAGUAGAGUGAUCGAAAGAUGAAAAGCACUUUGAAAAGAGGGUUAAAUAGCACGUGAAAUUGUUGAAAGGGAAGCGUUUGCGACCAGACCUUUUCCUAGCGGAUCAUCCGGUGUUCUCACCGGUGCACUUCGCUAGGUUUAGGCCAGCAUCGGUUUCUGUAGGGGGAUAAAAGCUCUGGGAACGUAGCUCCUCCGGGAGUGUUAUAGCCCUCUGCAUAAUACCUUUACGGGGACCGAGGACCGCGCUCGGC